RNAcentral lists this unclassified non-coding RNA (237 nucleotides) under plant metagenome. RNAcentral describes it as "partial contains small subunit ribosomal RNA, internal transcribed spacer 1, and 5.8S ribosomal RNA". The record is from RNAcentral.
UCUCCGUUGGUGAACCAGCGGAGGGAUCAUUACCGAGUUUACAACUCCCAAACCCCAUGUGAACCUUACCAAACGUUGCUUCGGCGGGGUGCCCCGGGCGCGGGCCGCAAGGCCUCAGCCCCGGAACCAGGCACCCGCCGGAGGCCCAAACCAAACUCUUGUUUUUGUAGAAUCUUCUGAGUGGCCUUUUAGGCAAAAAAUGAAUCAAAACUUUCAACAACGGAUCUCUUGGUUCUG